RNAcentral lists this unclassified non-coding RNA (17 nucleotides) under Mus musculus (house mouse). RNAcentral's name for it is "oocyte_clustered_small_RNA3467". Lineage: Eukaryota; Metazoa; Chordata; Mammalia; Rodentia; Muridae. The record is from RNAcentral.
CCAUUCUCUCUGCUCUA